Xenopus laevis (African clawed frog) is the source of this 861-nucleotide long non-coding RNA. RefSeq lists it as uncharacterized. The record is from RefSeq and is a predicted model, not a curated record. NCBI's taxonomy places the organism in Eukaryota, Metazoa, Chordata, Amphibia, Anura, Pipidae. The transcript has 5 exons.
AUUAGCAGGCUGGUCUCAGAGUGAGAGUUAGGAGCUGAGUGGGGAUCUGCCUUCUGUGUGGAACAACUGGGAAAAAAGGACAUCAAAAAGGGUACAUAAAGAAACCUGUGCAAUAUACGUUAGGUGAACAGAACAAAGAUAUAAAUAAACAGGUGGAUGUAGGUGGAAUUCCUCUUCCCAGGACCGGGUAACAUGUAAGCUCCAUGUCUGCACCACAAAUGGGUUAAAGCGAGGCCAGAUUCUUUUAAUUUUCCAGGGGAAAAACCUUUCUAGAUUAAUAGAUAGCUUUUUGUGCUGCGCAACACUCUCAAGAAUGAAAAUUCCUUAUAAAUAAAGGGCAGAGACACACGCUCAGAUUCGGGAAGAUUUAGUUCGCGUGGCAAUAAAUUGCCUCUUCAUUCAGGGCUACUAAUCUAACUGACUCCCGGAAGCUAGAAUCUAAAUCGACGGCGGGAUGGCACUCGGAGCUCUUCAUUUUCCGAAGUCGCCCGAAGUUUCCUUAUGAAGUGUUAAACCACAACAGACUCUAAUACAAAACUUCGGCAAGUAAAAGCAGUUGAGGUCCUAUAGAAUUCAGUGGAAGCUGCCCUGAUCCUAUAAGACCUUUUUUAAAGUAAUUUGGACUGAUUGAUGGUUUUCUGAUUUUUUUCCGCUAGUAAUUCAAAGUUUUAGAGGUUUUCUUAUUUCUAAUUGCAUCCUUCAGUGUUUUUUUUUCAUUUGCACUUUUUAUAUUUCAGAUCUUUUAAAGGAUGGUUUUCCUUUUAGUUAACUUUUCAUGUUAUAGAAUGGCUAACUCUAAGCAACUUUUCAAUUGGCCUCCAUUAUUUAUUUUUCUGCCUUCUUCUGCCUUUUUUAAGCUUU